GCCAGACGGCGAAUGUGAUUGGCAGACGACGAUCGCGAUCGGGAAGAAGACCAUUGUGAUUGGCAGAUGGCGAAUGUGAUUGGCAGGCGACAGGUAGCCGCAAAGCAAGAAACCUGAAAGAGCCCAUUUAAUAAAAAAUGAAAGACCAACACCCAACACGCAGAGAAAGGGGGAAAAAAAACACAAAUCAUGCAAACAACUGAAGCCAGCAACAACAUUCUGAAGCAAGUUAAGUCCUCAGGUCCGAACCACAGAGUGGGCCCUAAGCCUCGCUUAUCAGUUCAUCAUAUCAGCAGGCAUGGAGCACAGCAGCCGGGGCAGUCUUCAUAGCCUCAACACCACGGAGACGAGUGACUCUUGUGGAAAGCAAGUGAAAUCAGCUCUCGCCUCAGAUCCCAACAACCUGUCUUAUCUAUUGGAGGAACAACACCUUAUAUUCCGUCUGGGUAGCCUCCAACCUGAUGGCAUGAACAUUGACUUCUCAAACUUCUGCUAAUGUCCCACCUCCCCCUCGUACCCCAUCCGUUAUUUAUUCAUAUACACACAUUCUUUUUCAUUCUCUCCUUUUUCUCCCUCUGUCCCUCUGACUAUACCCCUUGCCCAUCCUCUGGGUUCCCCCCCUCCCCCUUUUCCUUCUCCCUGGGCCUCCUGUCCCAUGAUCCUCUCAUAUCCCUUUUGCCAAUCACCUGUCCAGCUCUUGGCUCCAUCCCUCCCCCUCCUGUCUUCUAUCAUUUUGGAUCUCCUGCUCCCCCUCCCACUUUCAAAUCUCUUACUAUCUCUUCUUUCAGUUAGUCCUGACGAAGGGUCUCGGCCCGAAACGUCGACUGUACCUCUUCCUAGAGAUGCUGCCUGGCCUGCUGCGUUCACCAGCAACUUUUAUGUGUGUUGCUUGAAAUUCCAGCAUCUGCAGGUUUCCUCGUGUUUGUGUCUUAUCUGGGCCGGCGUUUAAAUUGACCAAACAACCGAUCAUGAUUGUUCUUGGCAAAUUUUUCUACAGAAGUGGGCAGUGUCUUUACAAGACGGGUGAGCACACCGCCACCCUCCCCCCGCCCCCAGCCAUUAUCAACACUCUCCAGAGAUUGUCUGCCUGGCGUCAGUGGUCACAUAACCAGGACAUGUGAUAUGCACUGGCCGCUGAUACGACCAUCCACUACCUGCUCCCACGGCUUCAUGUGACCCCGAUCAGGGGGCUAAGCAGGUGCUACACCUUGCUCAAGGGUGAUCUUUAGGCUAGCAGAGGGAAGGAGUGGUCUUCCGCCUCCUUUGAUAGAGACGUAUCUCCACCUUGCCACCCUAUGAAUUAUCUUGCUUAAUAAACUACUACUAUGUCGACUCAGGCCUAGGGGGCCAGCGUCGGGCACGAUGAUGGACUCUCCACUUCUCCCUCUCCCUCAUCAGUGUGUCCAGUUCAUCUACAUUAGCCGUGCCGCUCUCUUCUAGGAGCGUGUUGACCAUAGUUUUGGGAGGGCACCCAGGGUUCGUCCUCCCGUGCUUGGGCUCCCAUAUGAUGACUAGGCUGACAGGUAGCUCGGGGUGGCGUAGACAGUGCCCCGCUAGUUGCAGUCUUCUCGCCUCGAUUUUAGUGGAGAGCAUUGGUAGGUUGUUAGAGAGCUCAACGUUCGUCAUGUGCUAUUGCCAACUCACGUCAAGAGCCAUCCGGAGCAUUCGUGUAUAGCAACCAUCUAGAGACUUCUGCAUCGUCUUUGUGAGUGUCCAUGUCUCGCAUCCGUACGUGAGAAUGGACUCUGUGACUGCUAUGAAACUCUCUGUAUAAUUUAUUUAUUUUAUAACAAGCCCUUCUGGCCUAACGAGUCCACGUCAUCUAAUUAUACCCAAAGGACCAAUUAACCUACUAACCCAUACAUCUUUGGAAUGUGGGAGUAAACUGGAGCACCCAGAGCAAACCCACAUGGUCAUGGGGAGAAUUUACAAACUUACGGACAGUGGCGGGAAUUGAACCCGGGUUUCUGGUGCUGUGAAACAUUACACCGAUCGUUACACUGCGGUGCUGCCCCAACUGUGAUGUGAAACAUCCCCUUGGCGUCUGCGGGCUCGGCAACGUUUACUCUGCUAUGUGCUGAAGUGAGUCUGAGGCUGUGGGCCUGCUCCAGGCUUCAUGUUCUAAAUGCUGUUUGCUUGCAUGAUUUCCUUUGUUUUCCUCUCUCUGCACAGUGGGUGUUCGAAAGUUUUUUAAAAAAUGGGUUCUUUUGGGUUUCUUGUUUUGUGGUCACUUGUAAGAAGACAAAUCUCAAGGUUGUAUACUUCGAUAAUAAAUGCACUUUGAACUUUGUACUUUAAUAAGACAGUUGGAGCCCGAGAACUUCAUUUUGAAAAGAUGAGCAAGGACGAGUUGGCCAUUAUAUACAAAUGCUCUUUGUCUGAGCUGUGGAGAUUAAAAGGCUAAUUCUCUAUGGUGAGGUGUAAUUCCAGAAAGAAUUACCUUACAGCUGCCCAUAGCUCACAAACCUGGCUUAACGCUGUUCUAUAUAAAUCCGACCACCUCUGAACGCAGAAUCAAGAAUAGUCUUGGAUUUUAAGUACUUCUUUUCAGAAUCCUGGUGAUGCAUUAUUGAGUAUUACCAACUAAAGUGAAAAGUAAAGCUUUCACUUAUGCAGGGCUUUUCACUUGCAGAGUGUUUCAAAGCAUUUGCAGCUACUGAAUUACUCAGGAGUAUAGUUCUAGUUGUACACAGGGCCCUUAGCAUUGUCAAGGAUUCCUCCCAUCCGUCCCACAAUCUUUCUGACUCUCCCAACCAUCUGGCAGGAGGUGCUAACACGGGAAAGUCUGCAGACACCGGAAAUCCAAGCAAAACACACACAAAGUGCUGGAGGAACUCAACAGGCCAGGGCGUAUCUAUGGAAAAGAGUAAACAGUCAACAGCAAUCAGUGAAGGAUGAAGGGUCUCAAGUCAAGGUAAAAGGUAUGGGGAAUAAAUAGUGGCCAUUCUAGGGACAUCCUGCAAAUGAAUAUAAAAAAAAGCAGAUUUAAUAUUCCUAUCAAUUACUUUUCUGAUGGAUGGUGAUUGUUAUGGAGAGAAAAGCCUGGGAUGGCACUCUUCAACCCACUUGAGUCCAGAUCAAAAAGUCAAGCACCCAUCUACAGGGGCAGUGUAUGCAUCUCACUGCCCCAGGAAAGCAGCCAGCACAAUCCCCGGACAUUGUCUCUUCUAGCCCAUCGGGCAGAAGAUACAAAAGCCUGAAAGCACAUACCACCAGGCUCAAUCCCACUCUUAUCAGACUCUCGAAUGGAGCUACUGUCUGAUAAGAUAGACUCUUGACCUCACAAUCUACCUUGUUAUGAUCUUGCACCUUGUCUGCAUUUUCCCUGUGGCUUCUGUGUCCUAUCAUUAUUUGACCCUCUUCCACCUCCUGUGGCGCAUCAGGCAGCAAGCUUGCCGCUUCUUUAGCGUUUUUGUCUGUUUUUUUAAUGGGGCCGAGUUGCUAGGACAACACUCGGCCUAGUACGGAUGGCAAGGAGCUGGCUGGAUUUGAACCCGGGACCACCCACCUCAAAGUCUGGUGCUGAUACCACUACGCCACCAGCCGGCUAUGUUCUAGCUUAGAACACUGUAUGAUGAUUGGAUCUAUAUAAAUAUAUGCAAAGCAAGCCUUUCACUGUAUCAUGAUGCACCGUAGAAAGCAUUCUUCCAGGGUGCAUCACAACCUGGUAUGGAAGUUGUCCUGUCCAAGACCGAAAGAAGCUGCAGAAGAUCGUGAACACGGCGCAGCACAUCACACAAACCAAUCUUCCGUCCUUGGACUCACUUUACACCGCACGCCGUCGGAGCAGUGCUGCCAGGAUAAUCAAGGACACGACCCACCCAGUCAACAGACUUCUCGUCCCUCUUCCCUCCGGGAGAAGGCUCAGGAGCUUGAAGACUCGCACGGCCAGAUUUGGGAACAGCUUCUUUCCAACCGUGAUGAGACUGCUGAACGGAUCCUGACCCGGAUCUGGGCCGUACCCUCCAAAUAUCCAGACCUGCCUCUCGGUUUUUUUGCACUACCUUAUUUUCCAUUUUCCUAUUUAUGAUUUAUAAUUUAAAUUUUUAAUAUUUACUAAUUUUUACUAUUUUUAAUAUUUAAUAUUUGUAAUCCAGGGAGUGGGAAGCGCAGAAUCAAAUAUCGCUGUGAUGAUUUUAUGUUCUAGUACCAAUUGUUUGGCGACAAUAAAGUAUAAAGUAUGAGGCCAAGAGUCAAUCUUAUGGUACAAUAGGAGAUCCAUUCAAAAGUCUGAUAACAGCGGGAUAGAAGCUGUCCUUGAUCCUGCUGGAAUGCGUUCUCAGGUUUUUGUACCUUCUGCCUGACGGGAGAGAAUGGUGGGGAGUAUAUUGACUGGCAGCAUCACAGCCUGGCAUGGAAACACCUUGGACAGAAAAUCCAACAAAAAAUAGUGGAUACAGCCCAGUCCAUCAGAGAUUGAGUCCUCCCCACCACUGAGCACGUCUACACAGAGUGUUGUCGCAGGAAGGCAGCAUCCACCAUCAAGAGCCCCCACACCCAGGACAUGCCCUUUCCUCACUGCUGCCAUCAGGACGUGAGUGAAGGAGCCUCGGGGUUCACACCGCCAGGUUCAGGAACGGUUACUACCCCUCAACCAUCAGGCUCUUAAACCAAAGAGGACAUCUUCACCCAAUUUCACUUGUUCCAUCACUGAAAUACUCCCACAGUCUAUGGACUCACUUCCAAGGACUCUUCAUCUCAUGUUUUGAAUAUUUGUUGCUAAUUUAUUUAUUAUUAAUUUCUUUCUUCAUUUGCACAAUUUAUUGUCUUUUGAACACCCAAUUGGUGCAAUCUUUCACUGAUUCUAUUAUGGUUAUUGGAUUUAUCGAGUAUCCGCACAAGAAAAAAUAAUCUCAUGGU
This is a long non-coding RNA of Mobula hypostoma (lesser devil ray), 4860 nucleotides long. RefSeq lists it as uncharacterized. NCBI's taxonomy places the organism in Eukaryota, Metazoa, Chordata, Chondrichthyes, Myliobatiformes, Myliobatidae. The record is from RefSeq and is a predicted model, not a curated record. The transcript has 3 exons.